UCAACCCUAAUUGCGCGAUACAGCAACUUAUCAUGACGAAUAAGUUAAUCAAUUCAAUUCGAAUCAAUAGCGUUACCGAUAACAAUAAUCUUCUAACAAUAAACGGUAAUUCCAGAUGCUUAAAUCAAGAUAUAUAUAUACGCCAUAGAUAACGAUUUAACUUUGAAAGAUUAUCGGUGUUUAAAUACAAAUUCUUUGUGCACCAAGUUUAUUUCAAGUUUUGGAACUUUAUGAAUACGGAUUGUUGGGAACCACGCAUUAAUUCGAUAGAACCGGAAUAGAAAUUUGAAAAUGCCGUGGGGUAAAGACAGCUCGGGGCCGAGCUGGAACUCAAGCUGGUCAUCGCAUUGGGAUGGUAGUGAAAGUUCGCACAGAAGGACGCCAGAAGGACAGCAUGUGCCCACCUGCCGAAAAAACGGAGGCACGGGCUGGGGCUGGGGUGGUAAAGCCCCUUAUCUCGAGCACUGCCCGGGUUGUCGGGCCGAGAGGUCGGGUUCCAGGUUCGGCGGUUCGAAAAGGAGCGGUGUAGCAGAUAUCGCGCGGCUGAUAUUUAGAUAAACAGUGAUUGGAAAAAAAUGGACGGCCGGUUCUUGGGAACCGACGUAUCGUUUUAUUGAUGCGUCGAUUCUAAAUAUACAUUCGUUUUUGCGGUUUAUUCAACAUAACGAACUAUGUUAAAACAAACGCAGUAAUGUGUUACUAACAUUCCGAAUAAUUGAUGCUUUGUUUCUAAAAAUAAAAUGACUAUACUCAUGUCUAUAUUUAUGUGGUAGGUCAAAUUACAUGAACGAUUUGAAAUCAUUCAUAAAGAUCAAUUUCCAUAUUCUGAAUCAUUCACGGCUAUUAUAACAUGUAUGUUGGUUUUCAGGAAAACGUUUAUACGCAUCCUUGUUUAGAAUGUAUGUACCGGUACAUGCAAUGUGCAUAUUCAAAAUAAAGUCAUUUAUAAUGACA
Long non-coding RNA from Dreissena polymorpha, 954 nucleotides. RefSeq lists it as uncharacterized. The record is from RefSeq and is a predicted model, not a curated record. NCBI's taxonomy places the organism in Eukaryota, Metazoa, Mollusca, Bivalvia, Myida, Dreissenidae. The transcript is spliced from 2 exons.